Molecule: long non-coding RNA, 2745 nt
Filed under: Homo sapiens (human)
Lineage: Eukaryota; Metazoa; Chordata; Mammalia; Primates; Hominidae
Description: HSALNT0315627
Source: RNAcentral
AUACAUGGUUACCUACCGCGGGUAGGGUGAGGUCAACCUCGUGUUUUUUGUUUUUUUUCCUGUGAUAUUAGCUAGCAAUUUCCAGCGUUUCCUGAACCUUGAAGUAAAAACAAUGAUACUGAUCUAAACUACUAGAAUCUAGGUUGGAAGGAAAGGAAUGCAUCACGUUUUACUCUUGACGCUCAGAAAGCGAUACCCCAAAGACAGAGGCUUUAGAAGCUGCCUCAUAAUGCAGGUCCCCCAACCUUGACUUGUUGCUCCCACUUUUCCCAAGUGCAGGGAGGUACUCUCUGAAAUUUCCUUUCCUGACUAGAGAAGCCUCUUUGUAGAAGAAUCAAUCGCAUUCCUCCCCUCGCUGAAAUCUCGUAUCCUAUUUCAAAAAGACUCAGAAAUGCAGCCAUUCCUGGAGGGACUUUUUCACAAGAUUACUCAAAAGAAAAUUAUUUACUAAUUUCUGUCCAUUCAUUGUUCCUAAUAAUCAUUUGCUGCUCCUCAAAAUAAAUGUCUACAUUUCUCAUCUACCCUUUCCCCUAUGAAAAAAAGAUAUAAAAUCUUCUGUACUCCAUUAAGCUACUGGGUAAUCAUCCUCCUGCUUUUACCCCGGUGUUAUGUAUCCCUUUUCUCCUGUUAAUCGCCUGUUAUCAGUUGAUUUUUUUUUUCUUUUUUUUUAGAUAGAGUCUCACUCUGUCGCCCAAGCUGAAGUGCAGUGGCGCGAUCUCGGCUCACUGCAGCCUCCGCCUCCGGGGUUCAAGCGAUUCUCCCACCUCAGCCUCCCCAGUAGCUGGGAUUACAGGCACACACCACCACGUCCAGCUAAUUUUUGUAUUUUUGUAGAGACGGGGUUUUGCCAUGUUGGCUAGGCUGGUCUUGAACUCCUGACCUCAGGUGAUCCGCCCGCCUCGGCCUCCCAAAAUGCUGGGAUUACAGGCAUCCAAAGCGCUGGAAUUACAGGCAUGAGCCACCGCACCCGGCCUUAUCAGUUGAUUAAGUGAACCUUCAGUGGGCAAAGUUGUUUUAAAAUGUACUGAUACUUGAGCCUUGCCUGCAGAGGUUGAUGUCACUGAUUUAAGGUGGGCCCAGCCAGUGGUUCAGUUUUGCCUGUCUUCGAGUGAUUGGAAUGUACAGCCAAGAGAGUGUAAUUAUGGUGCUGGCAGAAGUAUUAACCUAUCUGGAUGUCACUGUCUUCACUUUCUGACUAGGCUGCUUCCAGGGAAUCUUUCCACCUCAAUAUUUAUGAGAUAUCUAUAAUUUUAUAACAAACUUUUAAAGGAGCCUCGGUUUCCUUAAACACAAUUGAUGACACCAGUUUUCUGGUUUUCUUCCAUUUUUGUUUAUAGAGCCAGGGUCUCACUGUGUUGCCCAGGCUGGCCUUGAACUCCUGAACUCAAGGGAUCUUCCCACCUCAGCCACCUGAGUAGCUGGGACUAUAAGUGGCACACCACUGUGCCUGGUCAGUUUUCUGGUUUUGAUAAUCUAUGGUUGUGUGAGAUAUUAUCAUUGGGGAAAGUUGGAGGAAUACAUAGGAGUAGUCUAUCUUUGCAACUUCCAUGUCUUAUUUCCAAAUAAAAAGUAAAAACCCUCAUUGAUUAUGUACUUCAUUAAAACACUGGACUUCAAUGAAAUCAUCACCUAUAUUUGUAAUGACUUGAGAGUAAUAUAAUUUAACUUUUUUUUUGACUUCUGAACUUUUUAUUGGCCUCCUGCUCCCCAAAGGGUACCCUGCUUCUGAUGGCUUAAUGUCUCAGAACUUGGGUGUCGUUGGUCUCAGAUACCACUUUGCCAUCCACUAUCCAGCAGAUAGUGGUCUUUUGGAUGGUUUGCAUGGAGUUGCUGCUGUCCAGGGCAUCACCAAGAUUGAAGUCCUUGCCAUCUUCCAGCAGGCGGCGGUAGGUGGCGAUCUCAGCCUCUAGCUUGACCCUGAUGUUCAGCAGGGCCUCGUACUCCUGGGCCUGGCACUGUCCCUCUGCCCAGGCCUGUGCCAGCUCUGACUCCAGGUGCAGCAGGAUCCCGUUGAGCUGCUCCAUCUGCAGGGCGUGGCAGGCCUCCACCUCCCUCAGGCUGUUCUCCAAGCUGGCCUUCAGAUUUCUCAUGGAGUCCAGGUUGAUCUCCAAGGACUGGACUGUAUGUCUCAGCUCCGUGAGCGUUAUAGCAGCUCCAACCUCGACGGACUGCGUGGUGACCCCUGUGUUGCUCUCCUCAAUCUGUUAAGACCAGUACUUGUCCAGCACCUAUUGGUUCUUCAUGCCAGCUCAUCAUAUUGGGCCCGGAUGUCUGCCAUUAUCUUGGUGAGGUCCUGAGAUUUGGGGACAUCUACCUCCACAGUCAACCCAGAGCUGGCAGUCUGGGCUUGUAGGCCUUUUACUUCCUCUUCGUGGUUCUUCUUCAUGAAGAGCAGCUCCUCCUUGAGAGCCUCAAUCUAUCUCCAGCUGCAGCCGAGUGACAUUAGUGUCAUGGAUUUUGUUCCCAUGGAUGUUGUUCUUCAGAGGCUGGCACGUGGCCAGCUCUGUCUCAUACUUGACUCUAAAGUCAUCAGCAGCAAGAUGGGCAUUGUCAGUCUGCAGAACGCAUUGUCCACAAUAUUUGUGAAGAUCUGAGCCCUCAGGUCCUCAAUGGUCUUGAAAUAAUGGCUCCAGUCUCUGACCUGGGGUCCCUGCUUCUCCAGGUGCUCCCGGAUUUUGCUCUCUAGCCUCCGGUUCUCGGUCUCCAGGCUCCUCACUCUGUCCAGAUGUGGGCCACCAGCCUUAA